GUCGAGGGGCAGCACAGGUAGCAAUACCGGGUGGCGACCGGCGCACGGGUGAGUAACGCGUAUGCAACUUGCCUAUCAGAGGGGGAUAACCCGGCGAAAGUCGGACUAAUACCGCAUGAAGCAGGGAUCCCGCAUGGGAAUAUUUGCUAAAGAUUCAUCGCUGAUAGAUAGGCAUGCGUUCCAUUAGGCAGUUGGCGGGGUAACGGCCCACCAAACCGACGAUGGAUAGGGGUUCUGAGAGGAAGGUCCCCCACAUUGGUACUGAGACACGGACCAAACUCCUACGGGAGGCAGCAGUGAGGAAUAUUGGUCAAUGGCCGAGAGGCUGAACCAGCCAAGUCGCGUGAGGGAUGAAGGUUCUAUGGAUCGUAAACCUCUUUUAUAAGGGAAUAAAGUGCGGGACGUGUCCCGUUUUGUAUGUACCUUAUGAAUAAGGAUCGGCUAACUCCGUGCCAGCAGCCGCGGUAAUACGGAGGAUCCGAGCGUUAUCCGGAUUUAUUGGGUUUAAAGGGUGCGUAGGCGGCCUUUUAAGUCAGCGGUGAAAGUCUGUGGCUCAACCAUAGAAUUGCCGUUGAAACUGGGGG
This 584-nucleotide ribosomal RNA is filed under the name uncultured bacterium. RNAcentral's name for it is "bacterial SSU rRNA". It matches the Rfam family "Bacterial small subunit ribosomal RNA", at positions 61 to 639 of the family's 1533-position model. The record is from RNAcentral.